UUUUUACAAUGGAGAGUUUGAUCCUGGCUCAGGAUGAACGCUAGCGGCAGGCCUAACACAUGCAAGUCGAGGGGUAACAGGGAGAAGCUUGCUUCUCCGCUGACGACCGGCGCACGGGUGCGUAACGCGUAUGCAACCUACCUCUUACUGGGGUAUAGCCCAGAGAAAUUUGGAUUAACCCCCCAUAGUACCAUUAUAUCGCAUGAUAUUUUGGUUAAAGGUUACGGUAAGAGAUGGGCAUGCGUCCCAUUAGUUUGUUGGUGAGGUAAUGGCUCACCAAGACGUCGAUGGGUAGGGGUUCUGAGAGGAUGAUCCCCCACACUGGUACUGAGACACGGACCAGACUCCUACGGGAGGCAGCAGUGA
This 366-nucleotide ribosomal RNA is filed under the name Crocinitomicaceae bacterium. RNAcentral describes it as "bacterial SSU rRNA". It matches the Rfam family "Bacterial small subunit ribosomal RNA", at positions 1 to 357 of the family's 1533-position model. The record is from RNAcentral. Lineage: Bacteria; Pseudomonadati; Bacteroidota; Flavobacteriia; Flavobacteriales; Crocinitomicaceae.